This 502-nucleotide ribosomal RNA is filed under the name uncultured bacterium. Its description in RNAcentral is "SSU rRNA". It matches the Rfam family "Bacterial small subunit ribosomal RNA", at positions 26 to 521 of the family's 1533-position model. The record is from RNAcentral.
AGAUUGAACGCUGGCGGCAUGCCUUACACAUGCAAGUCGAACGGUAACGCGGGGGCAACCCUGGCGACGAGUGGCGAACGGGUGAGUAAUACAUCGGAACGUACCCAGUAGUGGGGGGAUAGCUCGGCGAAAAGCCGGAUUAAUACCGCAUACGACCUACGGGUGAAAGCGGGGGGAUCGAAAGACCUCGCGCUAUUGGAGCGGCCGAUGUCGGAUUAGCUAGUUGGUGAGGUAAAGGCUCACCAAGGCUACGAUCCGUAGCUGGUCUGAGAGGACGACCAGCCACACUGGGACUGAGACACGGCCCAGACUCCUACGGGAGGCAGCAGUGGGGAAUUUUGGACAAUGGGCGAAAGCCUGAUCCAGCCAUGCCGCGUGUGUGAAGAAGGCCUUCGGGUUGUAAGCACUUUUGUUCGGAACGAAACGUCAAAGACGAAUACUCUUUGAUAAUGACGGUACCGGAAGAAUAAGCGCCGGCUAACUACGCGCCAGCAGCCGCGGU